This 834-nucleotide ribosomal RNA is filed under the name uncultured Chloroflexota bacterium. RNAcentral's name for it is "uncultured Chloroflexi bacterium partial small subunit ribosomal RNA". It matches the Rfam family "Bacterial small subunit ribosomal RNA", at positions 24 to 863 of the family's 1533-position model. The record is from RNAcentral. Lineage: Bacteria; Bacillati; Chloroflexota.
UCAGGANGAACGUUGGCGGCGCGCUUAAUGCAUGCAAGUCGAGCGAGGGAAUUUUCUUCGGAAAAUAUACCUAGCGGCAGACGGCUGAGUAACGCGUGAGUARUCUGCCUUKMAGAGGGGAACRACUGUGASAAAUCACAGCUAAUUCCSCGUAAUGUCUAAUGKCUCAAGAUAUUAGAAGAAAGGAUCAKGGUAACCUGGUUCGCUUUUAGAUGAGCUUGCRUCCUAUCAGGUAGYUGGUCGGGUAAUUGCCKACCMWSCCGAWRACKGSUAACUGAUGYGAKAGCMUGRRCAGUCMGASGGGGACUGAGACACKGCCCCCACUCCUACKGGAGGCASCWKYMKGGAAUCUUGCACAAUGGGCSAAAGCCUGAUGCAGCGACGCCGCGUGAGGGAUGAAGGCUUUAGAGUUGUAAACCUCUUUUCUUAGGGAAGAGCAAGGACGGUACCUAAGGAAUAAGUCACGGCUAACUACGUGCCAGCAGCCGCGGUAAUACGUAGGUGGCAAACGUUAUUCGGAAUUAUUGGGCGUAAAGGGUCCGUAGGCGGCUCAACAAGUCUCAUGUGAAAUCUCUUGGCUCAACCAAGAAAGGUCAUGAGAAACUGUUGGGCUAGAGAUCAUUAGAGGGAGAUGGAAUUCCAGGUGUAGUGGUGAAAUGCGUAGAUAUCUGGAGGAACAUCAAUGGCGAAAGCAGUCUCCUAGGAUGAUUCUGACGCUCAGGGACGAAAGCGUGGGUAGCAAACCGGAUUAGAUACCCGGGUAGUCCACGCCCUAAACGAUGAAUGCUAGGUUUAUGGGGGCUCGCCCCUUGUGANCCGCAGCUAACGCAUUAA